Cryptotermes secundus is the source of this 668-nucleotide long non-coding RNA. RefSeq lists it as uncharacterized. The record is from RefSeq and is a predicted model, not a curated record. The transcript has 3 exons. Lineage: Eukaryota; Metazoa; Arthropoda; Insecta; Blattodea; Kalotermitidae.
AAUCCCUCCAAUCUGUUUUGUGUGUCUAUGUGUAUCUCCUUAAAGUUGCUAGGCAGCGGCUCGGUAAAAAUGUUACCGCGGCAACGAAUAUGCGGGCCGUAUUGUAUCUAAGAAAAUAUGCUAUUAAUUCUUCCCAGAACUUCUUGUCUCUUCACAGCAUCAAGACUGGCCCUGAAGCCCACCCAACAUCCUCUCCAGUGGGGGUUGUUUUCCCCAGAGAUAAGCCAUUCCUGGAAUGAAGAUGACAAUGCUACAUUUCUGGUUCAACCUUACAGGAGCGACACUAACAAUAAGCGUACCAGCUCACUGAAGUGGAACCCGGAAGAUGUCAUUGCCCUUUGAGGAUUAAAUUGCCAAUAUGCAAUUUUAUUUGACAACGCAAAUUUCAGAUGUCACUUAUAGGAUAAAUUUCCUGGAAGUUACUCGGGAAAUGAGUCCGGUAGCGGCCUUAAGAUUGACUGAUCCCCCGUCCAAGGAGUCUUAACAACUUGGGGAAAGUCGAAAAUUAUCGUAGCUGAGGCCUGGAGCAGUUGGGGGACUCAGAUUUAGGGGAACGUCCGCCGUUGGAAGCCGCUACCCAGCAACAGCUAAGGAAGACUGAGAAGACUUUGUAGUAGUUAUAGUGUGUAACUCAGUCAAUACUGUCGUAGUUAUUUGUAGUUGCGACC